AACCUAUGGUGAGGGCACCGUCUCAAUAAGUCCUUAUACCUCUCCCAUGCAUCAUAUAACGUCUCUAAAUCUAUCUAAACAAAGGAAAAGAUAUCAUUCCUCAACUU
Molecule: small nucleolar RNA, 107 nt
Filed under: Gossypium hirsutum (cotton)
Lineage: Eukaryota; Viridiplantae; Streptophyta; Magnoliopsida; Malvales; Malvaceae
Also listed under: 1 other name
Description: Plant small nucleolar RNA R71
Rfam family: Plant small nucleolar RNA R71
About the family: R71 is a member of the C/D box family of snoRNAs containing the C (UGAUGA) and D (CUGA) box motifs. Multiple nearly identical copies of this snoRNA have been identified in Arabidopsis, and it is thought to function as a 2'-O-ribose methylation guide for 18S ribosomal RNA.
Source: Rfam by way of RNAcentral